AUACAGAGGGUGCGAGCGUUAAUCGGAAUUACUGGGCGUAAAGCGCGCGUAGGCGGCUACUUAAGUCAGAUCUGAAAUCCCCGGGCUCAACCUGGGAACUGCAUCUGAUACUGGGUAGCUAGAGUUUAGGAGAGGGAAGUAGAAUUUCAGGUGUAGCGGUGAAAUGCAUAGAGAUCUGAAGGAAUACCAGUGGCGAAGGCGGCUUCCUGGCCUAAAACUGACGCUGAGGUGCGAAAGCGUGGGUAGCAAACGGGAUUAGAAACCCCAGUAGUCC
Molecule: ribosomal RNA, 274 nt
Filed under: uncultured bacterium
Lineage: Bacteria
Description: partial 16S ribosomal RNA
Rfam family: Bacterial small subunit ribosomal RNA
Source: RNAcentral